This 26-nucleotide non-coding RNA is filed under the name Homo sapiens (human). Lineage: Eukaryota; Metazoa; Chordata; Mammalia; Primates; Hominidae. The record is from RNAcentral.
GACUGGAACUACGUCUUCAGCUCUGC